Gossypium arboreum is the source of this 2295-nucleotide long non-coding RNA. RefSeq lists it as uncharacterized. The record is from RefSeq and is a predicted model, not a curated record. The transcript has 3 exons. Lineage: Eukaryota; Viridiplantae; Streptophyta; Magnoliopsida; Malvales; Malvaceae.
AUAGUGAAUGGAAAAAAGAAAUAAUUAAUAAAAAGUUCCAGUCAAAUCGAGCAGCCUGGCCACCAUUAAUCCUAUCGUCUUUUCAUGUCAACAGCCACGUCUGUUCAGAGAUAGAUCUUCCCUAAAACUUUUUCCAUGUACUUGUUAUCUUUGACUGCUUCAUUUCUCCACCGCAAAACGAUUUCAGUCUGGAUUUCUUCUCCAUCUUUCUUCCAGAACCAGAUCUCUAUGGUUCAGCGCUUCCCCCACCAAGUAUGAUUCUUCCCUUUUUUCUAGUGCUUCUUUUGCUAGUUUAUAGGCGUGAGCAUUCUCCGAUCUGUGGAUAAACUAGAAAGUGAUCUCUUGAAGACUAGUUCAUUUACUCUGAAUAUCUCUAAUAAUCGCUCAAAGUACUGAUUUGUCUACUUUUUUCGAUUGACAUUUCUUGAUGCCUGUUUUAGAGUCUCCCAUUAUUGUUGCUGAAUUUAAACCCAUUAAUAAUACUAACUUGAUGGCAUCUAACCCUGCAUGACCUUCUACUGUAAACGGGGAUGAGAAAUUAUAAUAGAGAUUCGUCUUUGAGGCUUUUAACACACCCAUCUGGUCUCGAACCACUACACCCGAAGCCAAUAUAGAAUUUCUUGUGUCGAAGGCUGCAUCAAACUAUACUGUUGUACCUAUUGUUGCCCCUAUUUGGUUAUGAACUCUUUCAGUAUUAAAGGUAAGCUUUUUCUCUUGUACCCCUUUGAGUUCUACUAUAUAUCUUCUGAUUUUUUGUGACAAAUUCCUAUCUAAAAUGGUUUUUCUUUCAUGAACAUACUGAUUCCGUGAGCUCCAAAUGAACCAUAAGGCAUAACAAAACAUCCAGAACUGUUCCUUAGUACUCUUUGCAAAAACCCAGGUUAGCUACUCCCAGAUAUUUUAAUUCAUAUGAGUUAUAACCUAAGAGAGAUUAAGGUUUUGCCAUACUUCAAUGAUUGUAAGGCAUUGUCUAAAUACAUGGUGGCUAUCCUCUUCUUUAGAGCAACAACGAGGACAUCUGGAGUUAGUGGUCACUCGCUUGUGUCUAAGCUUGCUAGUGUAGGUAUAUAGUUUCAAGAGAUCUGCCAUAUUGUUAAUGUAAUUUUUUAUGGUAGGUGUAAAUCCCAUAGUUUUCUAUAGAAGUCUUUGAUUUUGAUAUGUAUUAACUAACUAUUAGGAUCCAAAGCUAGCAUAUUGUAAUAGUUUAUAGGCACACCGUACUGAGUAUUCUCCAAAAGGUUUUUCUUUCCACACUUGAAAAUCUUCAUGGUUAGCUUCUGCAAGAGGGAUCUGCAAGAUCCUUUGGGCAAUUUCCGUUUGGAAGAAUCCAGUAAUCAUUCCAUAUAGAGAUCUCAUUUCCUCUUGCAACUCUCCAACAAAGUCCAUCUCAAAGAAGACCCUUUGCUGCCCAAAUACUCUUCCAGGUAAAUGAAGAUUUGCACAAAGGGCGAAAAUUGGCUCGGUAGACACUGCUAGAAGCACAAAACCGAGAAGCCAUUUUUGAAGCAUCAAGGUGAAAUAAAUUUUUAGCCUAAGGCGGUCCAAAUUAUGUAUAUUAAUUCAUGAUAUAAUUAAUUUUAAUUUAUAUCCAAUUUAAUUUGGAUUACAUAAAUUAUUAUUAAUUAAUUAUGAAAAAGUGGUCUAGUUGAGCCGAACCGAGUGAAUCGAACUGGCCAAGAAGUGGACAGCCCAAAAUCAUCCAUAUGUUGACCCAAAUCAGCUUAUUAGAUGAUUAUUUAGCUCACAAAGAGGCCCUUGAAGACAUGUUCAAGUUGCAAACAAACCCCUCCACAAUUGGUGGCUUUAUAGAUUUGCCCCAAGCCUAAAUUAGCGAAGUUGAAACUAUCAACCUUGCCACAUGUGUGGCCGACCAAGGGAGGGCUCUUUGGCUGAUAAUUUUAGCUAUUUUUAGCAGCCCUCAUCAGCUAUAAAAACUCCUUAGGCUGGUCAUUUGAAACACAUCUCAAGCAUUCACAUCUUUUCUCUUUUCUCUCCACUUUCUCUCUUCUUUUCCAUUCCAAAUUCCCUUGCUCUCUUGCCGAUUUUUCCUCUUGGAAAAGGGGAAUUAAUCAGCCAUUUGGAGCAGCAAUUAAGUGUUCAUAGCAGCCUUGGUCGAUGAGGACAACAGAGAAGGAAGAACGGAGCAAACUAGCCAAGCCACAGAAAAACAUUGGAUUUGAUUCUUGUUCCUUAUCUCUUUAAUUUUUGUUGUUGUUAUGAUGAACAUAUCUAUAGAUAUUUAUGUUGUUGUAAUGGUUAAUUUAAUCAAUUUAGCUUGAAUUUAAUUUGUGUUAA